CCCCCGCCCCUUUGCUUUUUCCUCUGUCUUUUUAAUUCUCAAUCUGCUUAACCAGGCUUUAAAGGCCAAGCAAAUCUGAGAUCAAUUUUCUCGUUUAGCUCUAAGUGACAUCAUCUAAAAUCAUUGUGCAAAGGCUAAAUAAGGAAACGGAGUCUAAUUCAGGGGCAAACGCCCGGCUAUAUUUAUGAAACGCCAGGCUCCAGAAAGCCACGGCCAGGAAGCCGACCGCAGCGAAAUCCGAGCUUUCUCUGCACGGUUCCGCCGGGCCGACACCGGGCCCAGGUCAAAGCCGCGCCGCCUCCUCCGCAGCCCUCUUUCUAGGGCUCCUCUGGGGCCCGGGGCUGAGGACUCCUGGCAUCCCGGAGUCUCUGCGGCCCGAGCCGAAUCUGGACCACUUGGAAGACGCCAGCAGGUAACUGGCCUCACAAAACGUCCCUGAGAAUUAAAGGCCUUGGGAGGCUUGUUAUGUAUUUGUGGUUUUGUAAAUGUGGUACCUUGACAGAAGUUUGGGAAAGCCGCACUCCAUCCACAAAGUUGAGAAGGAGUUGCAAGGAAUAGGCGGGUAUCACACGACAAGAAACCUCGGCUACGGCCCGACCCCACCCCCGAUAUACACGAACACACACAGGCGCGCUUUUAUACGUUUCCAUUGAGAGCCCAGAAAAAAUAUUUAUGUUAAGUACCUGCUCUCAGAGCUCUCUCGGAGCAUUUUAGAUACUGAAAGUUAAGCAGAGAAGGGAAACAACCUCUGAUUCCACCCCCAGCCCUCCAUGUCCCUACUGCUGGAGUCCCCACCACUUGUCAAAGCAGCGCAGGAGGCAGCCUGGGUGCGUGUGCUCACC
This 842-nucleotide long non-coding RNA is filed under the name Lynx pardinus (Iberian lynx). Lineage: Eukaryota; Metazoa; Chordata; Mammalia; Carnivora; Felidae. The record is from RNAcentral.